GGGGAAAAAUUAAUAAAAAAAAAAUAAUAAAAAAAUUUUUAAGGUAUAUUUUAAUGGGGGUUAGAGUAUAUAUAUAGGAAAAAUUUUAAAAUUUAUAGUGAAAUAGUAUUGUAAGAGAAUUUUGAAAUAAGUAUAAAAAUUAUAAAAAAGUAAAUUUAAUUUAUUGUAUCUUGUGUAUCAGAGUUUAUUAAUAAAAUUUUCUAAAUAUAAAUUUCUCGAAUUUAAAAGAGUUAAUUAAUUAUAAAAGUUAAUGUAGAAUAAUUAUUUUUAAUAAUUAAUUAGAAAUGAAAUGUUAAUCGUUUUUAAAAAUAUCUAGUUUUUUUAGAAAAAAAUUUAAUUUUAAAUAUUAUAUUUUAAAAUUUUAUUAAUAAAAAUUUUAAUAAUUAAUAUUAAAUAUUUUAAGGGAUAAGCUUUAAAAUAAAUUUUUAUAAUUAAUAAUAAUAAAAAAAAUUAAAAUUUUAAAAUUUAAAUUGUUAAAUAAAUUAUAAUUUUUUACAAAUAAUUUAAUUUUAAUUAAAAUUUAAUAUAAAAUUUAAAUUUUUAUAAAAAAAUAUAUUUUAAUAAGAUAAAAUUAAAUAUAAUGAUAAAAUUAGUAUAUAAAAAUUAUAAAAAUAAUGAUUUAUUAAAAAUUAAUUAAAGGAAUUCGGCAAAAUUAUAUAUUCACUUGUUUAUCAAAAACAUGUCUUUUUGGAAAUAAUUUAAAGUCUAAUCUGCCCACUGAUAAAUAUAUUAAAGGGCUGCAGUAUUUUGACUGUACAAAGGUAGCAUAAUCAUUAGUCUCUUAAUUGGUGACUUGUAUGAAAGAUUGGAUGAAAUAUAAACUGUCUCUAAUUAAUUUAUAAAAUUUAAUUUUUUAGUAAAAAAGCUAAAAUAAUUUUAAAAGACGAGAAGACCCUAUAGAGUUUUAUAAUUUAUUUGAUUAUUAUUAAUAUGUAAAUUUUAAAAUUAAAAUUAAAUAAAUUAUUUUGUUGGGGUGACAGAAAAAUUAAAUUAACUUUUUUAAAUAAUUAACAUUAAUUUAUGAAUAAAUGAUCCAUUAAUAUUGAUUAAAAGAAAAAAUUACCUUAGGGAUAACAGCGUAAUUUUUUUUUUUAGUUCAAAUAGGAAAAAAAGUUUGCGACCUCGAUGUUGGAUUAAGAUAAAAUUUAAAUGCAAAAGUUUAAAAUUUUGAUCUGUUCGAUCAUUAAAAUCUUACAUGAUCUGAGUUCAAACCGGUGUGAGCCAGGUUGGUUUCUAUCUUUAAAUAAAAAUAAUAUUUUAGUACGAAAGGAUCAAAUAUUAAAAAUAAUUUUAUAAAAAUGAAUAUUAUUAAUAAUAUU
This 1319-nucleotide ribosomal RNA is filed under the name Papilio machaon (common yellow swallowtail). RNAcentral's name for it is "16S ribosomal RNA". The record is from RNAcentral. Lineage: Eukaryota; Metazoa; Arthropoda; Insecta; Lepidoptera; Papilionidae.